This 28-nucleotide small RNA is filed under the name Bombyx mori (domestic silkworm). Its description in RNAcentral is "ovarian small RNA-5702". Lineage: Eukaryota; Metazoa; Arthropoda; Insecta; Lepidoptera; Bombycidae. The record is from RNAcentral.
UAACUAAACGAAAUAAAUUAGGGUUGUA